CAGGAAAUUAAAGCUUUGCCUGUAGCAAAUGACAGCAAAGAUGAUGAGCAAUGGCUGCUGCAGCUAGUUUAUCUGAAGGCUAGUGAGAGUCGGCAUGUGAUCCUGGCUUUGGAGCACAGUGGGGAGAUCAAAAUCAUUCAGGGUAAUGAAGGUGAACCUCAUCUGACUGUUACAUGGGAGCUCCCUGAGGCUGUGUCACUUAUUCUGCAAGAGAAUCCAGUUAUGUCUCUAUGGCUGAAACCCAAUGCCAGGAAAACAAAUGGAUUUUUUCCAGAUGUUCAGCUGUUGUCUGACACAGGUCCUAAGAGAAAUAACGAAACCCAGAAUUUACCACUGGGUGAAGAAAUUAAGUGCUUUGAUGUGUUAAAAGUAGAAGGAUACAGUUUGAUAGCUACUGGAAAUGCACAUGGUGCAAUAACCUUGUGGGAUUUUGAAUCUGCCACUGUCAGAUACUUGGAUAAAACUUAUCAGGGUGGUCAAAAUGCUAUCGCUCAAGUAUCUGGAGUCAAUGCUGUGCUAUUCCUUUUCCGGAGUGCUUUCUUUUCCAGGUAACUGAAUUGCAUGCACUGCAUUAUGAAUUUUGCUCUGUU
This 590-nucleotide long non-coding RNA is filed under the name Terrapene triunguis (Three-toed box turtle). Its description in RNAcentral is "Terrapene carolina triunguis (Three-toed box turtle) lncRNA (ENSTMTG00000009601.1)". Lineage: Eukaryota; Metazoa; Chordata; Testudines; Emydidae. The record is from RNAcentral.